CCUACGGGAGGCUGCAGUGAGGAAUAUUGGUCAAUGGACGGAAGUCUGAACCAGCCAUGCCGCGUGCAGGAAGACGGCUCUAUGAGUUGUAAACUGCUUUUGUACAAGGGUAAACCUGAAUACGUGUAUUCAGCUGAAAGUACUGUACGAAUAAGGAUCGGCUAACUCCGUGCCAGCAGCCGCGGUAAUACGGAGGAUCCAAGCGUUAUCCGGAUUUAUUGGGUUUAAAGGGUGCGUAGGCGGAUUGAUAAGUUAGAGGUGAAAUGUCCGAGCUUAACUCGGGAACUGCCUCUAAUACUGUUGAUCUAGAGAGUAGAUGCGGUAGGCGGAAUGUAUGGUGUAGCUGUGAAAUGCUUAGAGAUCAUACAGAACACCGAUUGCGAAGGCAGCUUACCAAUCUAUAUCUGACGUUGAGGCACGAAAGCGUGGGGAGCAAACAGGAUUAGAUACCCCUGUAGUC
This 460-nucleotide ribosomal RNA is filed under the name uncultured bacterium. RNAcentral describes it as "partial 16S ribosomal RNA". It matches the Rfam family "Bacterial small subunit ribosomal RNA", at positions 338 to 795 of the family's 1533-position model. The record is from RNAcentral.